UUUUGAAUUCAUCGCUGAGUAAUGAUUCCUAAAUCGUGAUUAUGACAUGGAUCAUUGCCGAUGGGUUUAAUCGGAAACGAUUAAGCCUCCCGUGUUUGGAAAGGCGAGAUGAAUUAAACCAU
RNAcentral lists this non-coding RNA (122 nucleotides) under Cloacimonas (SeqCode). RNAcentral's name for it is "Candidatus Cloacimonas MoCo sequence". It matches the Rfam family "Molybdenum/Tungsten riboswitch aptamer (Moco RNA motif)". The record is from RNAcentral. Lineage: Bacteria; Pseudomonadati; Candidatus Cloacimonadota; Cloacimonadia (SeqCode); Cloacimonadales (SeqCode); Cloacimonadaceae (SeqCode).